RNAcentral lists this non-coding RNA (30 nucleotides) under Mus musculus (house mouse). RNAcentral also lists the same sequence under 1 other name. The record is from RNAcentral. Lineage: Eukaryota; Metazoa; Chordata; Mammalia; Rodentia; Muridae.
UGAAAGAGGAAAAGCGAUCUGGGCAAAUGU